This 86-nucleotide transfer RNA is filed under the name Pseudomonadota bacterium. RNAcentral's name for it is "Proteobacteria bacterium (freshwater metagenome) tRNA-Ser". It matches the Rfam family "tRNA". From Rfam's summary of the family: Transfer RNA (tRNA) molecules are approximately 80 nucleotides in length. The record is from RNAcentral. RNAcentral also lists the same sequence under 1 other name. Lineage: Bacteria; Pseudomonadati; Pseudomonadota.
GGAGGGAUGGCCGAGAGGUCGAUGGCAACCGUCUUGAAAACGGUAGUCCGAAAGGACCGGGGGUUCGAAUCCCUCUCCCUCCGCCC